AGUCAUAUGAAGUCGAAAGGUCUGGGAAGGCCAACCGUAGGGGGUAAUAGUCCCGUAGACGACAAUAUGAGUACUGGCGGUGUAUCCUGAGUACGGCGGAACACGUGGAAUUCCGUCGGAAUCUAGGAGGACCAUCUCCUAAGGCUAAAUACUCUCUAGUGACCGAUAGUGAACCAGUACCGUGAGGGAAAGGUGAAAAGCACCCCGGGAGGGGAGUGAAAUAGAACCUGAAACCGUGUGCCUGCAAGCGGUAGGAGGGGACUUAGGGUCCCUGACUGCGUGCCUUUUGCAUUAUGAUCCGGCGAGUUACUCGUCACGUGCGAGGUUAAGGGCCUCUGGCCCGGAGCCGAAGCGAAAGCGAGUCUGAACAGGGCGUGCUAGUACGUGGCGGUAGACCCGAAACCGAAGCGAUCUACCCAUGGCCAGGAUGAAGCUCGAGUAACAUCGAGUGGAGGUCCGAACGCGUAACUGUUGAAAAAGUUUGCGAUGAGCUGUGGGUAGGGGUGAAAGGCCAAUCAAACUCCGUGAUAGCUGGUUCUCCCCGAAAUGCAUUUAGGUGCAGCGUC
This 566-nucleotide ribosomal RNA is filed under the name Ditylum brightwellii. RNAcentral's name for it is "partial Bacterial large subunit ribosomal RNA". It matches the Rfam family "Bacterial large subunit ribosomal RNA", at positions 321 to 883 of the family's 2925-position model. The record is from RNAcentral. Lineage: Eukaryota; Bacillariophyta; Thalassiosirophyceae; Lithodesmiales; Lithodesmiaceae.